RNAcentral lists this long non-coding RNA (1177 nucleotides) under Bos indicus x Bos taurus (hybrid cattle). Its description in RNAcentral is "lncRNA (ENSBIXG00000020128.1)". Lineage: Eukaryota; Metazoa; Chordata; Mammalia; Artiodactyla; Bovidae. The record is from RNAcentral.
CCGGGGUCUUCAUGCCCACAUCCAUCCCAACUUCGGGCAUCCGCGCCAUUGUCUCUGGUUUUCAGGACACAGCAUCUCCCAAAGACAAAACCCUGUGUUACUCCACUUUUUCUUACAGAAGGAAUUCCACCUCUUUCAUCUCCCCAGCACAGAUGGCACCACACGUGGACUUUAACAAGAAUGUAGGGGAGGUUCAAGGUCAGCAGAGAGAUGGCCCCCUGGGUCACAGUCACUCCUGGAACCGGGCACUUAGACACCCAGCUCCCACCAGACCUCAGCAUCCCUGCCCAGCCCGGGACACCCAGCUGGGGGCAGCCACCUCUGUCUCCAUCAGCAAAUAUCUCAGUGGCUCUGAACCUACGCGUCCCAGAGAGAGCUCCCCAAACUUGCCCCACGCUCACCCCGAUGAGAGCAGCCACAGCUAUUUCCUCCAGGGUGGACCCUGGGGCCCACCCUCUACCAUCAAAUUCAGAAGGCCUGGACCAAACAAGGACAGUAAUUCACAGAGCAAUACCCGAAGUCUGACGGAUUCAGUUCUAAGUAACACCAUAUGUGGGACCCACCAGCUGGAUCCCAGAAACUGUGCUGAGUCCAAUUCCAUUGUCUGGGUCCCACACACAGGCAAAAAACACCAGGCCUGCUGGGCUCACACCAGGGUCCAGGUUUCCUACUUACCAUGUAAGUGCUUAGAAAAGAACACACACACACACACACACACACACACACACCAGGAACUAGAAAGGAUCUGCAGACACAGAGCAUUGAAGCCACGAUUCAAAGGGGAGGAAGAACAUUGUAAACCAUUCUGCAUUAAUCGCAGCCUAGGUAAAGUCUGCAGUUUUCAUGACUGGGUGAACUGCGAUCCCCCAGCACGACACACGGGCCCUCACGUGAUGCUGGGCAUUCAGGGCUGUCCAGAAAUGGCCCACCUGCCCUUCCACACCCACUCCGCUCCCCACCGUCUGUGUUCUCCGAUCCCCUGACCUGUUUGGUGUACAUAGGUCACAGAACUCCAGCUGGGCUUGGCCAAUGAGGAGUCCGGAGGGAGCCUGGGAAGAAAGGCAGGAUCUUUAUCCCUGCAGCUCCCUCCCUGUGGGUCCCCCGAACUGCCUGUGCCCCUUUAUCCUCCAAAAGCCAUCCUCUCAGCGUGAUGCUCAGUCAUGUCCGACUCUUUGAG